This 453-nucleotide ribosomal RNA is filed under the name uncultured bacterium. Its description in RNAcentral is "bacterial SSU rRNA". It matches the Rfam family "Bacterial small subunit ribosomal RNA", at positions 29 to 524 of the family's 1533-position model. The record is from RNAcentral.
AACGAACGCUGGCGGCAGGCUUAACACAUGCAAGUCGAACGGGCACCUUCGGGUGUCAGUGGCAGACGGGUGAGUAACGCGUGGGAACGUACCCUUCGGUUCGGAGUAACCCAGGGAAACUUGGGCUAAUACCGGAUACGUCCGUAAGGAGAAAGAUUUAUUGCCGAAGGAUCGGCCCGCGUCGGAUUAGCUAGUUGGUGGGGUAAUGGCCCACCAAGGCGACGAUCCGUAGCUGGUCUGAGAGGAUGAUCAGCCACACUGGGACUGAGACACGGCCAGACUCCUACGGGAGGCAGCAGUGGGGAAUAUUGGACAAUGGGCGAAAGCCUGAUCCAGCCAUGCCGCGUGAGUGAAGAAGGCCUUAGGGUUGUAAAGCUCUUUCAGCGGGGAANAUAAUGACGGUACCGCAGAAGAAGUCCCGGCUAACUUCGUGCCAACAGCCGCCGCUGUAAC